Molecule: ribosomal RNA, 252 nt
Filed under: uncultured bacterium
Lineage: Bacteria
Description: partial 16S ribosomal RNA
Rfam family: Bacterial small subunit ribosomal RNA
Source: RNAcentral
UACGAAGGGGGCUAGCGUUGUUCGGAGUUACUGGGCGUAAAGGGCGCGUAGGCGGCCUGGUAAGUUAGGAGUGAAAGCCCUGGCUCAACCCGGGAAUUGCUCUUGAGACUGCCAGGCUUGAGAGCGGGAGAGGAUGGUGGAAUUCCCAGUGUAGAGGUGAAAUUCGUAGAUAUUGGGAAGAACACCGGUGGCGAAGGCGGCCAUCUGGACCGUUUCUGACGCUGAGGCGCGAAAGCGUGGGGAGCAAACAGG